RNAcentral lists this ribosomal RNA (239 nucleotides) under uncultured bacterium. RNAcentral's name for it is "partial 16S ribosomal RNA". It matches the Rfam family "Bacterial small subunit ribosomal RNA", at positions 109 to 334 of the family's 1533-position model. The record is from RNAcentral.
AGUAACGCGUAGGUAAUCUAUCCUUACAUUUGGGAUAACAUUGGGAAACUGGUGCUAAUACCGAAUGGUCUUCUUUGCUGCGGGACGAAGGAGUAAAGGUGGCCUCUUCAUGAAAGCUACCGUGUAGGGAUGAGCCUGCGUACCAUUAGCUAGUAGGUGGGGUAACGGCCCACCUAGGCUACGAUGGUUAGCGGGUCUGAGAGGAUGAUCCGCCACACUGGAACUGAAACACGGACCAG